CCUGGCGGCUCUAGCGCGGUGGUCCCACCUGACCCCAUGCCGAACUCAGAAGUGAAACGCCGUAGCGCCGAUGGUAGUGUGGGGUCUCCCCAUGUGAGAGUAGGGAACUGCCAGGC
This 116-nucleotide ribosomal RNA is filed under the name Klebsiella variicola. Lineage: Bacteria; Pseudomonadati; Pseudomonadota; Gammaproteobacteria; Enterobacterales; Enterobacteriaceae. The record is from RNAcentral.